AGUGAACGCUGGCGGCAGGCCUAACACAUGCAAGUCGAACGGCAGCACAGUAAGAGCUUGCUCUUACGGGUGGCGAGUGGCGGAUGGGUGAGGAGUACAUCGGAAUCUACUUUUUCGUGGGGGAUAACGUAGGGACACUUACGCUAAUACCGCAUACGACCUACGGGUGAAAGCAGGGGAUCUUCGGACCUUGCGUGAUUGAAUGAGCCGAUUUCGGAUUAGCUAGUUGGCGGGGUAAAGGCCCACCAAGGCGACGAUCCGUAGCUUGUCUGAGAGGAUGAUCAGCCACACUGGAACUGAGACGCGGUCCAGACUCCUACGGGAGGCAGCAGUGGGGAAUAUUGGACAAUGGGCGAAAGCCUGAUCCAGCCAUGCCGCGUGAGUGAAGAAGGUCUUCGGGUUGUAAAGCCCUUUUAUUUGGAAAGAAAAGCAGUAGGUUAAUACCUCGCUGUUUUGACGGUACCCAAAGAAUAAGCACCGGCUAACUUCGUG
This 492-nucleotide ribosomal RNA is filed under the name uncultured bacterium. Its description in RNAcentral is "partial 16S ribosomal RNA". It matches the Rfam family "Bacterial small subunit ribosomal RNA", at positions 29 to 507 of the family's 1533-position model. The record is from RNAcentral.